RNAcentral lists this ribosomal RNA (397 nucleotides) under uncultured bacterium. Its description in RNAcentral is "partial 16S ribosomal RNA". It matches the Rfam family "Bacterial small subunit ribosomal RNA", at positions 523 to 918 of the family's 1533-position model. The record is from RNAcentral.
AUACGUAGGUGACAAGCGUUAUCCGGAUUUACUGGGCGUAAAGGGCGUGUAGGCGGUCUUGCAAGUCAGAAGUGAAAUUCCUGAGCUCAACUCGGGCGCUGCUUCUGAAACUGCAGGACUUGAGUGCUGGAGGGGAUAGCGGAAUUCCUAGUGGAGCGGUAAAAUGCGCAGAUAUUAGGAAGAACACCGGUGGCGAAGGCGGCUAGCUGGACAUGAACUGACGCUGAGGCGCGAAAGCGUGGGGAGCAAAAAGGAUUAGAUACCCGGGUAGUCCACGCCGUAAACGAUGAAUACUAGGUGUAGGGGGUAUCGACUCCCUCUGUGCCGCAGUUAACACAAUAAGUAUUCCGCCUGGGGAGUACGGCCGCAAGGUUGAAACUCAAAUGAAUUGACGGGG